UACAGAGGUCUCGAGCGUUGUUCGGAUUCAUUGGGCGUAAAGGGCGCGUAGGCGGUGCGGUAAGUCACCUGUGAAAUCUCCUGGCUCAACUGGGAGCUUGCAGGCGAAACUGCCGUGCUGGAGUGUGGGAGAGGUGCGUGGAAUUCCUGGUGUAGCGGUGAAAUGCGUAGAUAUCAGGAGGAACACCUGUGGCGAAAGCGGCGCACUGGACCACAACUGACGCUGAGGCGCGAAAGCUAGGGGAGCAAACAGG
RNAcentral lists this ribosomal RNA (253 nucleotides) under uncultured bacterium. Its description in RNAcentral is "partial 16S ribosomal RNA". It matches the Rfam family "Bacterial small subunit ribosomal RNA", at positions 524 to 776 of the family's 1533-position model. The record is from RNAcentral.